Molecule: ribosomal RNA, 384 nt
Filed under: uncultured bacterium
Lineage: Bacteria
Description: bacterial SSU rRNA
Rfam family: Bacterial small subunit ribosomal RNA
Source: RNAcentral
AACAUACCUUAUAGUACGGAAUAACUGCGGGAAACUGUAGCUAAUACCGUAUAUUCCAGAAAUGGGAAAGAUUUAUCGCUAUAAGAUUGGCCCGCGCAAGAUUAGCUUGUUGGUGAGGUAAUGGCUCACCAAGGCUCCGAUCUUUAGCUGGUUUGAGAGGACGAUCAGCCACACUGGGACUGAGACACGGCCCAGACUCCUACGGGAGGCAGCAGUAGGGAAUAUUGGACAAUGGGGGAAACCCUGAUCCAGCAAUGCAGCGUGAGUGACGAAGGCCUUAGGGUUGUAAAACUCUUUCAUCGGUGAGGAUAAUGACAGUAGCCGAAGAAGAAGGACCGGCUAAUUCCGUGCCAGCAGCCGCGGUAAUACGGAAGGUCCUAACGU